Long non-coding RNA from Apus apus (common swift), 392 nucleotides. RefSeq lists it as uncharacterized. The transcript is spliced from 2 exons. NCBI's taxonomy places the organism in Eukaryota, Metazoa, Chordata, Aves, Apodiformes, Apodidae. The record is from RefSeq and is a predicted model, not a curated record.
GCUUCAGGUAGAGGCUUCAGGUAGAUCUCUGCCCCACGAGGUGCCUGGUUUUUGCAAAGAACAAAGGGCGGGAUGUUUUCCCCGGCUCCACCGGCGUCGCUGGCACCAGCAGCAGGCCCAGGAUUCUCCUAGAUGAAGAAUUCCUUGUCCAGCCCAAGCAUCCUGAAUCCUGUAAUUCUUCAGUCCCUUCAGUGCCAGAGAACAGGGCUGUUGUGCCUCUCCAGCUCUGCCUUGUGGCACCACACCCUCCAGAUGCACUCACUAAAUAAUCACGAGUUAUUUUUGCAAAAGAAGAGAUGAACACCUGCAAAAUACUCUCUAGUUUUCUCCUAAUAUACAUGUUUGAAAUAAAACAACAGAAAUCACUGGGGCAAAAUCAGUGAAAAAACCAA